CACAGGGAUCAUCCUAUCAGCAUGGGCUUGUCAAUAGUUAGAUAAUCUUUCAAAGUUCCCAUUAACUGUCACUUUUUAAGAUGUUUAGUUCAAUUCUGUGGAAAGUGGGAAUUAAUCUAGUCAAGCAUAUUCUUAACUUUCAAUCACUCCAGAAAAACAUUACAGAAUGAUAGAAUCCCUACCACAUGCUAUGAUAAGCUAUACAAAGGGAACAAUUGGCUUUUUCUUCUUAGCUAUAAUGGUCUAGCAGGAAGGGCCCUUAGCAUUGUUAUUUUCUGUGUAGUUGUUUCUCCUGUAGCAUACUGUAUGUAAAAGUUAAACAUUAAUACCACUUGGGACUUUUACAGUGCAUUUAAUGGGCUCAGCAUGUCUUAGAGCCAGUCUCUGAGAGCUGCAGUAUCUUAACAGCACUCCUAAUGGCAGGUUACUCUUUUUCUAUUAUAUUAAAGACCGAAGGUGAAGGGAGAAAGAGGGUUAGAAGGAAUAACAUCUCAAGACUGGAUUUGUCAUUGAAAGGUUGAAGACUCAGAUUGACCCCUCCAAUACUGCAGGAAAGUGGUGAGUGUUCUCGGUCACCACAGGCAUAAAUUAAUGAGGCCGUGUUUCCAAACCUUGCAACCCACCCCUUUAUCCUAGUCUAUAAUUUAUUGGAAAGAUAAAGAACAUUUGAUUGAACCCAUAAACACCCUUGAUGAUCAUAUUAGCAUUUCCUUGAGUCUUUCUAUAAUUUCUUCCCCUUUCUGGUUGUUUGAGAGAAAGAGUGCAGCCCUUCCUUUGCCUUGCCAGGAAUUACAAAGGUUAUCUUCUUAACAGAUUAUAUUUGAAGAGUGAAAGGGCACACUUUUAGUCAUUCACUUGGGACAACAGGCAUAAACUGGGUUGUAUGAUCACCUGAGAUUAGCUUUUUCUUUUAAAGAGGAAACACUUCCAAUAGAAAACAGUUGCUCUUCAGCCUCACUCUUUUUUAAAGAAGAGUCUGUUAUCCCAGGUGGCUUAAUGAGCCACCCCAUACAUCUGCUUUCCACCUUCCUGAAUUUACUUCCUUGAGAGUCAAGAGCAGACUCUUAGGAUGUCAGCACAACAGCUCUUUCUGUUACUCACUCACUCACUCACUUCUCUGCAUCAUCCAUCGUUGCUACCUAUAGCUUCUUCCUCAAGGUCCUUCCCUUUGUUUCUAACAUUGUGCUCUUCUGACUCUUCUAUUUUGAAUAACCUCUUCCAUCUUUUGUUCUUUUUGUAAUUGCUCUACUACUCAUUCUGCUCCCUUCUGACUCUAGGCAAUGUAGUUUUGCUAUAAAAUGCUUUCUUGCUCUGCCUUCCUCUUGUUUUGGCUUCCUUUCAGGAAGUACAUGGUUCAACCCUGAGCUCUAUGUAGUUAACCCCAAAUCUAUGUGUCAACCCUGACUAUUGUUAACAUGUUUUUCUUUUUUUAGUUGGCACACAUAAUAACUGUAUAUAUUUAUGGGAUACAGAGUGAUAUUUUGAUACACAAAUACAAUGUAUAAGGAUCACAUCAGGGUAAUUAGCAUACUCAUCACCUCAAAC
Homo sapiens (human) is the source of this 1545-nucleotide long non-coding RNA. RefSeq lists it as uncharacterized. The record is from RefSeq and is a predicted model, not a curated record. The transcript has 3 exons. NCBI's taxonomy places the organism in Eukaryota, Metazoa, Chordata, Mammalia, Primates, Hominidae.